RNAcentral lists this ribosomal RNA (432 nucleotides) under uncultured bacterium. Its description in RNAcentral is "partial 16S ribosomal RNA". It matches the Rfam family "Bacterial small subunit ribosomal RNA", at positions 29 to 506 of the family's 1533-position model. The record is from RNAcentral.
AACGAACGCUGGCGGCAUGCCUAACACAUGCAAGUCGAACGAGACCUUCGGGUCUAGUGGCGCACGGGUGCGUAACGCGUGGGAACCUGCCCUUAGGUUCGGAAUAACUCCCCGAAAGGGGUGCUAAUACCGGAUAAUGUCUUCGGACCAAAGAUUUAUCGCCUUUGGAUGGGCCCGCGUUGGAUUAGCUUGUUGGUAGGGUAAAAGCCUACCAAGGCGACGAUCCAUAGCUGGUCUGAGAGGAUGAUCAGCCACACUGGGACUGGGACACGGCCCAGACUCCUACGGGAGGCAGCAGUGGGGAAUAAUGGACAAUGGGCGAAAGCCUGAUCCAGCAAUGCCGCGUGAGUGAUGAGGGGCUUAGGGUUGUAAAGCUCUUUUACCCGGGAUGAUAAUGACAGUACCGGGAGAAUAAGCUCCGGCUAACUCCGU